GCGUUACUGAAGAGUCCCAUAAUAAGACGAAACGGCCGUUCAGUGC
RNAcentral lists this non-coding RNA (46 nucleotides) under Schistosoma mansoni. Lineage: Eukaryota; Metazoa; Platyhelminthes; Trematoda; Strigeidida; Schistosomatidae. The record is from RNAcentral.